UACAGAGGUCUCGAGCGUUAAUCGGAAUCACUGGGCUUAAAGGGUGCGUAGGCGGCGCGGCAAGUGCUUUGUGAAAUCCCACGGCUCAACCGUGGAAUUGCUUGGCAGACUGCCGUGCUUGAGGUCGGUAGGGGUCGCCGGAACUCUAGGUGGAGCGGUGAAAUGCGUAGAUAUCUAGAGGAACGCCAAAGGUGAAGACAGGCGACUGGGCCGAUUCUGACGCUGAGGCACGAAAGCGUGGGGAGCGAACGGG
RNAcentral lists this ribosomal RNA (253 nucleotides) under uncultured Phycisphaera sp. RNAcentral describes it as "partial 16S ribosomal RNA". It matches the Rfam family "Bacterial small subunit ribosomal RNA", at positions 524 to 776 of the family's 1533-position model. Lineage: Bacteria; Pseudomonadati; Planctomycetota; Phycisphaerae; Phycisphaerales; Phycisphaeraceae. The record is from RNAcentral.